This 468-nucleotide ribosomal RNA is filed under the name uncultured bacterium. RNAcentral describes it as "partial 16S ribosomal RNA". It matches the Rfam family "Bacterial small subunit ribosomal RNA", at positions 28 to 507 of the family's 1533-position model. The record is from RNAcentral.
GACGAACGCUGGCGGCGUGCUUAACACAUGCAAGUCGAACGGAAAGGCCCUGCUUUUGUGGGGUGCUCGAGUGGCGAACGGGUGAGUAACACGUGAGUAACCUGCCCUUGACUUUGGGAUAACUUCAGGAAACUGGGGCUAAUACCGGAUAGGAGCUCCUGCUGCAUGGUGGGGGUUGGAAAGUUUCGGCGGUUGGGGCUGGACUCGCGGGUUAUCCGCUUGUUUGUGGGGUAGUGGCUUACCAAGGCUUUGAAGGGUAGCCGGCCUGAGAGGGUGACCGGCCACAUUGGGACUGAGAUACGGCCCAGACUGCUACGGGAGGCAGCAGUGGGGAAUAUUGCACAAUGGGCGGAAGUCUGAUGCAGCAACGCCGCGUGCGGGAUGACGGCCUUCGGGUUGUAAACCGCUUUCGCCUGUGACGAAGAGUGAGUGACGGUAAUGGGUAAAGAAGCGCCGGCUAACUACGUG